This 253-nucleotide ribosomal RNA is filed under the name uncultured bacterium. RNAcentral's name for it is "partial 16S ribosomal RNA". It matches the Rfam family "Bacterial small subunit ribosomal RNA", at positions 524 to 776 of the family's 1533-position model. The record is from RNAcentral.
UACGGAGGGUGCAAACGUUGCUCGGAAUCAUUGGGCGUAAAGCGCACGUAGGCGGCUCGUUAAGUCGGAUGUGAAAGCCCUGGGCUCAACCCAGGAAGUGCAUACGAAACUGGCGAGCUUGAAUAUGGAAGAGGGUCGCGGAAUUCCCGGUGUAGAGGUGAAAUUCGUAGAUAUCGGGAGGAACACCAGUGGCGAAGGCGGCGACCUGGGCCGAUAUUGACGCUGAGGUGCGAAAGCGUGGGGAGCAAACAGG